RNAcentral lists this long non-coding RNA (1959 nucleotides) under Olea europaea subsp. europaea. Lineage: Eukaryota; Viridiplantae; Streptophyta; Magnoliopsida; Lamiales; Oleaceae. The record is from RNAcentral.
GCCUUUUUACCAUUUAUCUGUCAAAUCUUGAGGGUUUGAGCAUUUCUGGAAAGACCUAUGUGUUCUUGAAAUGGUGCUGUAUUAAAAGGUACAAUUUUUAUUUGAAUAUUAUUAAAAUUCUUGGUGUAAUUUGAAUCUCUACCUUUCACUUUGACGUGUUUAGUUUCUUUACAAUAUUAGGACCUUCAAAUUUGUGCUUGGCAGCAAAUAAUUAAAAUGAAUUUAUAAAUACUGUGCAGAUUAGUGUAUAGUUAAAAAAUAAUUAAUAUUCAAUAAGCCAAUAAUCUUUAAUAAUUCAUAUUCAAUGUAUAACUUUAGCCUUCUGGUUUAGGCUAAAAUUUUAUAAAAUUUUCAAUUUUAACAGGAUUCUCAAUUAUUUAAUUAAUGCUUGCUGGAUGAUGAAAUUCUUAGUGUGGUUAGAUAUUCUUGAUUAUGAAGAUUAGUCAUUGGUGUAUUGUAUUGAACUUGUCCGGAUGUGGAAUCAAGAUGGAAGCUUUAAUUGAAGUUUGUGGUUGGAUUUUGAAGUUUUCUCUUUGCUAAAUUGCUUCUUAAUUUAACACGUGAAACCAGCAUUCCUCUUUCAUUAUUGUUUGUGCUUUCAAGUUUCAGUAUGCAAGUGAGCUUUGAUGAUUAGGCUUUCACAUUUCAUCACCAUUCUUGACAUUCUUUACUUUAAAAAGUUUUGCAUCCUCUGAAUUUGUUGGUAAUUUGACAGAGAAGAAAUAUUUCCACCGUUUAUUGCUCCAUUUUUCCAGUAACUUCUUUUUUUAACACUUCAUAAUGAAAAAAGAAGGUUUAUUUUGUUAAUCAUUAAGGGGAUUGCUUUUAGGUUUUCUUUUUCCUCGUGAAAUUGCUUUUGAGUUUUUUGCUGGUUCCUAUAUUAUUUUAUUGUCUCAAAUAGAGGCCAAGUGUCCAUGAAUUCAUCUUUGCUCUUAUUAUUUUUUGUAUUACAUUUUGUUUGCAUUUUUAUUGUUGGGUUUGUUUUUUACGUUUAUAUAUUUAGCUCCCAAAAAAUCUUUAAAAAAAUAAAAAUGAAAUAAAAAGGUUAAUUCAUACUAAUUUUGAGAGCCCAACCUUUAGAGUUGAUUCAGGUGUGAAAAUCUCAAGUCUGGUCUUGAUCCUGAAGCAAUUCGGUUCAAGAAGUACUGGAAUCAGAAUUAAAAAAAUAAGGCGAAGACCUGGAAUUGGAGGUCUACAGAACGCCACUGUAGCUAGAGUUUUUUCACCAUUUUAUGCUUCAUUAAUUAGUAAGCAUUACACACACACAUACUUUGUUUGUGUGAUUCUACAUAUGUAUUUGUUUGAAUAUAUGUUUGUAUCUCGAGUGGAUGUAUUUGAAAUUUGAUUUUGUGAUGAAUAUCGGUUGCUGGGAGAAAAUGUGGCAAAGUUGCAAACUGAUGUCAUGAAAGAGCGGCUUUCAACUUUUCGCUCUCAGUUGGAAGACUUUGCCUGCAAGCAAAAGGUCCCUCUUUUUAGCUAGAUUAAGUUUUCCUAUAUUUUUGUUAAGUAUCUACUUAAUUAUUUAAUUCCCUACUUUUAUAUUGGUCAUUGAUGGAUCAUUUCCUGCUAAUUCAUAUUGAUACGAAAACAUUUAUUUAAUUAAGGAGAAAAGGAAUUUAGGGUUUCCGAACUGCUGGAGUGUUCAAAUUAUGCUCACAGAAGGGUAGAAGAUUAUGAAAAAGAAGAUAGAAAAUAAAUUUUACUUGUCAUUGUUUAUGCAGAAUGAUAUAAGCAAGAAUCCGGCAUUCAGGGCACAGUUCCAUGAGGUGUGCUAAAGUAGGUGUGGACCCUCUGGCCUUGAAUAAAGGUUUUUGAGCUGAGUUAUUAGGGAUCGGUGACUUCUACUACGAACUUGGUUGGUAUCUAUCUGCUUCUUGGCUUUCGUUUCUUAAUUUUCGCUUGUGUCUUUAUUGUCAUCACUGUAAAGCGGGGAGUUUUGAUAUCAACAAUUACCAUGAA